GAUUCCUACGGGAGGCAGCAGUAGGGAAUUUUCGGCAACGGGGGAAACCCUGACCGAGCAACGCCGCGUGAAUGAAGAAGUAUUUCGGUAUGUAAAGUUCUUUUAUUGAGGAAGAAUGUCUAGGUUAGGAAAUGAACUUAGAGUGACGGUACUCAAUGAAUAAGCCCCGGCUAACUAUGUGCCAGCAGCCGCGGUAAUAAU
RNAcentral lists this ribosomal RNA (201 nucleotides) under uncultured bacterium. RNAcentral's name for it is "partial 16S ribosomal RNA". It matches the Rfam family "Bacterial small subunit ribosomal RNA", at positions 334 to 528 of the family's 1533-position model. The record is from RNAcentral.